This 472-nucleotide ribosomal RNA is filed under the name uncultured bacterium. Its description in RNAcentral is "partial 16S ribosomal RNA". It matches the Rfam family "Bacterial small subunit ribosomal RNA", at positions 28 to 507 of the family's 1533-position model. The record is from RNAcentral.
GACGAACGCUGGCGGCGUGCUUAACACAUGCAAGUCGAGCGGAAAGGCCCUUCGGGGUACUCGAGCGGCGAACGGGUGAGUAACACGUGAGUAAUCUGCCCUUGGCUUUGGGAUAACUACCGGAAACGGUGGCUAAUACCGGAUACGACAACCGUCUGCAUGGGCUGGUUGUGGAAAGUUUUUUCGGCCAGGGAUGUGCUCGCGGCCUAUCAGCUUGUUGGUGGGGUAAUGGCCUACCAAGGCUUCGACGGGUAGCCGGCCUGAGAGGGUGACCGGCCACACUGGGACUGAGACACGGCCCAGACUCCUACGGGAGGCAGCAGUGGGGAAUAUUGGACAAUGGGCGGAAGCCUGAUCCAGCAACGCCGCGUGAGGGAUGACGGCCUUCUGGUUGUAAACCUCUUUCAGUACCGACGAAGCGCCGAUGAUGGUGGUGACGGUAGGUACAGAAGAAGCACCGGCCAACUACGUG